Long non-coding RNA from Mesocricetus auratus (golden hamster), 8960 nucleotides. RefSeq lists it as uncharacterized. The transcript is spliced from 3 exons. The record is from RefSeq and is a predicted model, not a curated record. Lineage: Eukaryota; Metazoa; Chordata; Mammalia; Rodentia; Cricetidae.
UGUCUGUCUCUCAGCCGUCACAUGCUCCUCGGCUGGAGCCAGCGGUUCAGAGACAAACUCAGCCUGCCUCCUUCUCCUGAGGCCAGGCACACACACGCGCGCGCGAGAACCCAGCGACAGCAGCUCCUGGGCCUCACAGCACUUCACAGUUUGCAUUUCUCCAGCCCACGCACGUGUCUAAUUAUAUCCCUGCCUGUUCCCGAGGGAGUUUAGUCGCCGGCCCUCCGUUUGUUCUUCACAGUGACAUUGCGGGUUAGCCAGGCACAGACUUAGCUGGGGCAGCUGAGGAAUCCAAUGUCCGGAGGGGCGUUGUCAAGGUCAUGGGGCUUGUGUGUGCGUGGAUGUAUUCUGUGUGCACAGAUGUAUGCAUAUGCAUGGGUGUGUGCGCAGGGAUGGGUCCACAUAUGUGUGCCACGUGGUUGUAUGCAUAUACACACAUGUACAUUUAUGAGCAUGUAUGCCUAUGUGUGUGUCUUGUGUGUGCAUGUGCUUUUGCCUGCACAUGUGUAAUCAUGUGCAUCUGUGCAUGUAUGUGCACCUGUGAAGAUGUCUUUGCAUAAACCCAUGAAUAUGUGUGCAUGCUCAUAUAGGAUGUAUAAAACUGGGUGCAUGCAUGUAUGAGCAUGCAUUUGUACAUGUCCACAGUGUAUGUAAGUGUGUGAACACACAUAUAUGUGCAUGCACUCAUGUGUACACAUGUGUGUCUAUGUGUGUAUUCCUUUGUGAGUACGUAUGUAUGCAUUUCUCAAUGUGUGUGCAUUGAAGUAUGAAGUGUAUGCCUGUGUGGACAUGAAUCCCUAUGCAAGCAUGUGCAUAUGCAUGUUUGCAUAUUUGUGUGUGCCUGCGUGUGAGCUUGUCAUGAGCAUUUGUAUGUUUUCAUUGGGCACAUGUAUAUUUGUGUCAGUGAAUGAGCAUUUGUGUAGGUGAACGUGUGCGCUUAUAUGUACAUGUUCGUGGAUGCCUUAUGUAUGUGGAUUGUACAUACAUAUACAUGUAUAUUGGACACCUGUGUAUCUGUAUGUAUGUGGGCAUAUUUGAAUGUGUAUGUGCCUAUGUAUGCACAUUCAUAUGUAUUCAUUGUUCACAUGCAUAUGUGUUCAUGCAUGCAUGCUUGCUCAUAUGCACCUGUAUGCUUUUGGAUGAUGGUGCAUGUGUGGUCACACAUGGGGGCAUAUGUGUGUAAACACAUCCAUGUGUGCACAUAUGUGUCCGUAAAUGGCUAUGUGCAUGCAUUUAUCUGCAUCUGUAUGCAUGCAUGUAUGUGUCUCCUCACAUGACUUUAUGUGUGCCUGCACACAUGUGCUUGUGUGUAUCCAUGUGUGCACAUGUGCUUGUAUGUGCUUGCGUGCACGUGUAUGCAUGCAUUUGUGUGCAUAUGCUUGUGUCAGGGCUAAGUGGUGAGGGCCAAGUGACUACUGGCUGUGUGCCUCACCCGACAGCCUGUCUUGAGGACCUGGGGUCUGGAAGGGCUGGAUAGGGGUUGUGGCAUGGAAGAGAAGGGGCUGCCCAGCUGCCAGCAGGUGACAGGCUGACUUGAAGCCAGAGCUGCAACAAAGGAGGGGAACAAGGGGGACAACGAGGCUUGGCAACCGCUCUCCCAGCUGCUCUGGGCUUGAAGCAGGGCCACUUUGCUGGCUCCGGCACAGCACGAACAGGUGGCAGCAAGAUUGGCACAGCCAGGGAAAGCUGUCUUGUGGAGGCCAGGACACAGCAGAACAGUGGAGAGGGGAGGCAGCACCGAGGGGGUGCAAGGAGGAACCCCCACAUUGAUACCUGCCGCCUACCUCUGUCCCUCCAAGCCAAGGUACUCAAGAACCUUCAGAGACGGUGAGCUGCCCUGGUCCCCUCAGCAGUAGGAGCCCACAGGACGACUGCCUCUCCUCUUUUCCCUGAUGUCUACAGCUUUCAGCUCCCUAGCACCGUGGGGCUUCUGGACACUGAGAAAAUUAGGCACUGAGGGCUCCCUGGAGGGUUCUGAGCCCAGCAUCAGUAGCCAUGGGGACUGAGUGCCCCCAACUCAUGCUAAGGGGACAGAUGACUCAGCCUGUAUUACAGUUAUGUGAACGCCAUCAGAGCCCCCUGAGUUCUGUUCUGGUGAGAUGGGGGGUGGGGCAUCCAGAGACCAGGCAGGGGUGGCUGCUGCUGGCCAAGGGCUGUGCUGGAGGUAGGGAAAACACAUGGCGAGAAGCAGCUAGAUCUGGAGGCUUCUAAGGGAUGACCCUCAAAUACCUGCUCUGGCGGUGGCUUCACGGGGAGAAGAGGGGUGAGGACAAUUAAAGUGGGGUUCAGAUUUGAGCUAAGGGGUGCGUGUCCCCUGGACUAUGGAGGAUUGGUGUUCUUCUGAAGGAAGGGCGGGACGCCAGACCUCCCCUCUCUUCUCCACAGCACACUCUUUAAGGGCUUCUCACCCUGCCUCCUCCUAGGCCAGCAGAGCUGGGGCAGCACAUCAGCUCCCCGGCGCCCUGGAGACCCGGGGCAUACACUUACCCUGUGCACACUCCCUGACUGCUCUCCCGGGCAUCCUGAGGAAGUUGUGUCCCUUCUUUAAGAUGGACGGCACUUUACAACCUCCAUAUGCUCGGCUUUCUUUUUAUUAUUUUAAUUUCUAAAUACUUGGGAAGCUUUCCAGCCCUGGCUUCUGCUGUGAUUCUGGUGCCAGCAAACACACUUGCUCCCCCACCCCACCCCUGCCUCAUCUUAGCCAUAAGGACUUCUCCCAACGCAGGGCUGAGGGAGGCUGGGAUUCAGGGAGAGAGAUCCAGCCAGCAGUUCCUGCUCCUAAGUCUGAGCACAGUCCUCGGGAGGCCUGCGGCAGCAGAGGGCUAGCCUGACCUGCCGUGGGGCCCAGGCACCAGACAGGAACUGCAGGCUUCCUCACCCAGCCCAGUCCACAAUGACCUGUUACACUGCCUUUCUCUGCUUAUAGCUGCACUUUGGAGUGCUUUCCCUGCCCCUAACCUCUGUGGCAUUCAGUCUCUCCCAUCCCGGUGUCAUCUCUUCUGUGGAGUCGUCUCUGGAUCCCUGAGUGUCUUCUGUCACUGGCAGAGUCUCACAGUUGCUCUGCCGACAUAUCCAGACUACGGCAUCUCUGCUUGCACAGUGCCGAGCAAUGGAAAUAGUGCCUGGCACAUAGCUGGCCAUGGUCUCCUUGCUUUAGGCUCAGUGCUGGCCACUUUGCUGACCAUUCCUGCUUCCUGCUUCUCCAAACUGCUAACCACCACGGGCGCACGAGCAACCCCUGAGUUGCUCCAGCUUCCCCCAGCUUCUGGACUCUGCUAUAGUUUCAGCUCUAUCAGGACAGGGGUUUGCGUGCCUGGUUUUGCUAACUCAGGACUCAGCCCAGUGGCUGGCAACAGCGUCAUGUCCCUGCAAUGAGCAUUUCUUAAACUCGCAUCCUUAAAGUCAUGUCAUCACAGUCACGGUCCUUAUCCACACCCCACUUGUGUUGCUUAAGUAUUUCUCUUCCCAUCAGCCACCUUUAAAACACUUAAAGAAAUAAAAUGUAAAAAGAAGCUUUUUUAUCACUGCCGUAAGUGGAAAGCCAAUAUCACGAGCCAUAAAUAGAAGACAACUGUUAAAACAAAUGCCACAAAACAAAGCGACGCGAAGAAAUCCGAGGAAACGCCGGGCGCUGCAGAACGUGCCUGGGCUGGGCUGAGGCCGAUCUCUUUUUGCCAACUGGGCAAGUGUUACAAGGCUUGAAAGAAAUGUUAGCCCAGACCAAGAGUCCUCAGGCAGCCGAAAGCAUCCGAAUCCAGUAGACAUGGCCUUGCCAAAGGCCACACGAUUGCAUUCUGGGUACCUCCUAAACUGGUCCCGACAUCCAUGGCCCUCAUCCUGCACAUCAGGGGACAUAGAUCCUGGAAAACUCAGGAGAACUCCAAGAGACACAUGUGAGAGCUCUAUGGAACUCGUGAGUCUUGAAUGGACAUGGGGCUGACUGAACUACAAAGAGCCACCGCUCCCCUGGUCCAGAGAAAUAACCGCCGAGCCCAUCUGCCCCUCAGCUCCGGUGCUCCUCCCGACGUUUGCCUGGCAGCAGAUCAGACCUUCUGUCUCCCACGGCCUUCAGAAGAACUCUGUCCUCCUGAUUCCUGACUCCCCCUUUUGAUCUCAUGCCACAUUUGUGGGAUCCUGGGUGUCCAUUGCUAGGCAACAGAAUCACACACUCAAGUCUCAAAGGGAUCUAGGGCCGAGAGGAAGUGUGCUAAGAGGGGCCACUGCCCACUCAAGGCUGAGCGGAGUCUGCUGCUGGAAUCCAGAGGAGAACUUGGGUCCCCGCCUUCUCCAACAGAGUACGGGGGCCACGCCCCACGCCCCCUCCUGUGCAGGAUGCUUAGCCUGUGCACUUCAGUCUUCUUCAGGACCCUUCUGCAGUUGAAAGAACUGAGGUUCUGACGCCCGGUUCACCAGAUGCUCAGUGAACUUAUGCCCAGCCCCGACUCUACCAGGCGCACCACAGAUCUGAUAUAACCCAGUCACUCUCCACUGAUGCCUUGAGUUCAGGCAGCACUUUCUCAACAGCUGCCAGUGUGUAGUCUCUACAGGAGACUGUGGCCUCUGAGGGGGACUCCAUUUUGCUGUGCCUGCGAGGUAGGUGUCCACCUCAAGACUGGUGGCUCCUAGCUGGCUCCCUUCCCCUGUCUUGCCACUUUGAGCCAAGACAAAGUCCGUGUCUGCUCAUCAAGACAGCAUGGACCUGCCUGAGCAUCAUUUAAUUACAUUAUUUCCUUGCAAGCCUGUCCAGGAAGUGCCGGGGGCCUGGUAGGGAACAGCCUGGACCUGGCAGGGUUCACAAGGUAACUGACCAUGGGAGGCCCCAGCCACCCUUGGGGCCCAGUGCGGGGCAUGUAGGGGACUUCCUGUUGCUGUGCGUGAGGCUGCUGUCACUGCCCGCUGCUCCAAAUGGCUCCACAGUCAUAAAGCAGCUGAGGAAAAAUGACAGCAGGGAAGGGAAACGAGCCACAAAGGAAAUUAGCUCUCACUCGGGGAGACCUCGGCUUUCUGCUGACAGAGGACUCUACCCUAUGAAGCCAAGAGCUUAAACUCCACUCUUACAGUAAUUACCAUGCCGGAGGCACCUCUGCCCUUGGCCCAGACCCAGAUGGCCCCUUCCAGGGCACUGAGAGAGACCCACAGCCUAGAGCUGGAGUCCAGGGAACAAGGAAUGGGAGGGAGGUUUGGUGCCAGAGCCAGGGUCCCCUUCAUAGAGAAGACUAUCUAACGGAUGCUAGAGCUCAGUGUGGACUUGGGGACCAGGUGCUCCAACCUUCUCAUUUGACAGGUGAGGAGCCUGGAGACUCAGAGAGGGUUAGUGACUAAGUGAGGGCCACCCAGCCAAAGACCAGAUCAGAUUGAAAGUAGCCCCUACUCCUGUGAGCCAGAGCCGUUUCUGUCAAGUCCUGCACCCGCCCGAUAUGCGUAUUUCCCGUAGACCUGGUCCAUGCUAGGCCCAGUGAAAACACAAAAGGCAGCGUGCCGGCCUCAGUUAGAGCAUGCACCCAGGACCCGCCAUUGUGUGGUUUCCCUUUACCUGGUGAUGCCAUCCCCACAGCAAAGCUCUGUGCAGUGUGGCUCUCCCGCAGCAGCCAUUCUUAGGGAGCCAGUCUGGGAGAUUUUGGAGAUGCCCCUACAGAAGGAUAACGAGCUCUGCACAUCUGUCAGGGGUAGGCACCCCUUCUGGGGGGAUUGGGUCUCUGCCAUCCUACCCUGAAUCCAGACUCCCAGCUAGCCCAAGGCAAGCCAGGCCUCCACCCUCCUCCCCGAACUGCAGUGAGAUAUCCACCUCGCCUGAACGGAUAGCACCGACCACGCCCAUUUGGGCGUGGCAACAGGUGCAGACAUGAAGGAAAGUGGGUUUAGGUCUGGGGUCUGGGCAGGUGACUCUCUCUCUCUUGCUUCAGGUCAGGUCACAGGGAGCAGCCUGUGAGGAUCCUUAGAGCGGGACCCUGCGGCGGCCGUCUGCUUCUUGUGUCACAGUUCAUCACUGCGGGAAAUUGGGGUGGAAACUCAAGAGAGGAACCUGGAGGCUGGAUCCAUGAAGGAUGCUGUUUGUUGACUCUCACUGGCUCAUACUCAGCUACCUUUCUUACACAGCCAAGACCCACUUGCCUAGGGGAUGGUGCUACCCAUAGUGGGCUGGACCCUCCUGCAUUAAGAAAAUGCCCCAGAGACCAGGCUAGUUGAAACAAUUCUUCAACUGAGAUUUCCUCUCCCCAGGUGACUUUGGGCUGUGCCAUGUUGGCAAUAAAAACUAACAAGGACAGCAAACCUCUUCCAAAAACAAUGAAACCACAGUCCAAAUAUCUUGGGGGCUCUCUGCUGCCUGCUUUCUUCUCCAGCUCCAACCACUCUUGCUGGUUGAUGCUUCCUGGGGUCAUCUGAAGCCUGUCCUCAUGUGUACUGUCCUAAGAUCCUUGGGGCCGUGUGGGGGCACGUUCAUAACUUGUAGCUGUGCAGCCCCUUUGCUCCCCAAAUCUACCUGGAGGCUAAGCUCAUUGUCACCCCUUCUAGGGGUGAGCAAAGAAGUUGUCAAGAGGCCAGGGAACUCACUCAAGGCCAUUGUGGAGUGGAAACGUCCCCACAUCCUAUAGAGGUCAGAUGGCAGCAUCGGGAACAUCUUAAAACGACCCCACCCUGUGACAGACAGGAAGGCGUGGAGCUAAGAUCUUGAGGGAGCCACUGAAAGGCCUUCGCAUAGAGGAGUCGCAGGCGUGUGGAGACACCAUGAAGACACCACACAGGAUGCCACUGCCAUCCUGCUUGGGAAGGGAAGGAGAAGGAGCAGUGUGACAGAGCUGGAAGAACAGAGCAGUGACAGCCACUUGGCAGGUGCUGGUGUGAGAACCGCCACCCAGACAAGGAGAAUCGGGGAGGAGAUUCCCGGCCCGCCCCACCCCUCCCAAGGAUGGCAGCCUCAGGCUCAUUCUAAACAUAAGCCAGGGACCAGGGAGCCUGGGUGUUCAGAGAGGUCGGGCUCCUCACCUGGGGCUCAGAGCAAGAAAGAAAAGAAGCCAGGGAGCGGGCAGCAAGAAUGACGCUGGAUUCGCUUCUGGUUGUUGCUGUAGCUUAAGGAUUACAACACCCACUUAACGUAGUACUCCAUAGUUAGCUGUGGCUUCAGAUACUCACAGGAGCUGCGAGCCAGAUACUUACGGGAAGUUCCAGGCCCAGCGCGUUUGCAAGCUUCAAAUGGCGUGCUGCUCUGAGCAGUGGUGAAGGCCUGCACCGUCUCUUUCGCCUCGGCCAGCGAGUCCACAGUGUGUGUGUGUGUGUGUGUGUGUGUGUGUGUGUGUGCGCGCGCGCGCGCGCGUGCGCGCGCACUGCCUGCCUGGUGGGCACCCAGCACUUACCUAGGUUAUUCCUGCCACUGUCACCAGUCAUUGUACCUGUGUUCAAGUAACUGUAUUUUCAGUCACAACAACUUUAAAAUAUCAGAAGAGCAAUGUCACCCGGGCAUAAAGUCUGGAGGACCAGGAUGAGCAGGGCACUGCGCUGAGAGGCUUCACAGAAAGUAGGAAAGCAUUAAAUAUAGGGCUUGGUCUACUAUCUGCAGUUUCAGGCAUCUGGGGCAGAAAGGUCUUGGGUAGGAAGACUGUGCCACCUGUUUGGAAGCCAUUAGUAUGAACCAAGUGUCCCCCACUAAGGGCAAGGUACAGGUAGGGCUGUGUCAGUUGAAUCCUGUGGGUCUCAGAUGGACCACUGCAAUACCUCAUCUUACUGUGGAUUGUCUGCGUGGCCUGACCUCAUCGGGCCCUCAUCUUCCCCAGACACUGGGCCAGGAGGGCGGACCCAUCCCGGAGAAGGCCAAGUGGGCAAGAAAACACGCAGUCCCUCAUGAGGUCGGCCUCAGAGUUAUCACUUCCAGGUGUCUACCGCUGGCCAAAGCAGCUCCUGUGGGCCAGGCGGAAGCCAAGGGCUGUGUCAGGCCAGAGCCAGGGUGACGGCAGGCAGAGCGAAGUGGGGUGUGAUCCCGGGUAGCAGAGCGAAGUGGGGUGUGAUCCCGGGUCCAGGGGCCACAGCUUCAUCACACCCGCUUUCCCUCCUGUCCUAGACUUGUUCUUUCCUGAGUUCUAGCGAUGCGUGAGAGAGUGAGCUCCCAGGAGGAAGGAUGGACUAGUGUGUUUUGCAGCAGCAGGGACAGCUCCAUGCUCGGCUCUUGCCCUGGGCAUUGCAGCUGGCGGAGCACCACUCUCUGCACGGUGUGUGGGUGAACAGCCUUCAGCGCCAGCAGGAGAGUGUGUAAGGGGCUGGACUCCCUUCUGGGGGCCCAGGGAAGGCUGUGGGGUGCCCCGGCACCAGGCAGGUACCAGGCCACGCCCCUCUUCCACACACUCCCUCUUUCAGCCGACCCUUCCGUCCUGGCCCGGCCCACAGGUGGCUUUUGCAGAGCUCAGGCUGAGCUGAGACUUGCCUGCUGUCUUGAUGCUUACAGUCUCCCAGAGGUGCAGCCUAGCCGCAAGGGCGGAGUGGGGACUUCGUAGGUCUAUAGUGGAUGCUAUUCCACGGUGGAGACAGCUCGGAAGCUGGGGCCUGACGACCAAGAUGGGCAAACAGGUGGGCAUAGCCUCCGGGAGUCGGCCAGGAUGCUGGGGGACACUCUUGUCCCUGUGUGCGCCAACCGUCCUGGAGACUAAGGUGGUUUAGUCUUCUGGAGAAGAGUGAGCACUGGGAAUGGAUACACAGGUAACAAGAUGGGGCAGUGGAUGGGGGCACAGAUGGCUGAUGGGGAGGAUCCUUGUGACCAAGGCCUCUCUUCCUGGCCACGGAGGAAUUAGAUUUAUCCGUGAGCUAGGAUUAGCAAUUUUUUUUCCUACAAAGGACAAGGCAGUGAAAUUCUCAGGCUUUGCAUAUGUCAUCUUCUCAGUGCUGCCCUUAUGGGUGAAAAUCCUCCGCUCAGUGCAUCAGUAAGUGAGCAUGGCUAUGUCCCAAUAAAACUUUAUUAUAAUUGGGGCCCCCCA